RNAcentral lists this non-coding RNA (120 nucleotides) under Hylemonella gracilis. RNAcentral's name for it is "TPP sequence". It matches the Rfam family "TPP riboswitch aptamer (THI element)". From Rfam's summary of the family: Vitamin B(1) in its active form thiamin pyrophosphate (TPP) is an essential coenzyme that is synthesised by coupling of pyrimidine and thiazole moieties in bacteria. The previously detected thiamin-regulatory element, thi box was extended, resulting in a new, highly conserved RNA secondary structure, the THI element, which is widely distributed in eubacteria and also occurs in some archaea. RNAcentral also lists the same sequence under 1 other name. Lineage: Bacteria; Pseudomonadati; Pseudomonadota; Betaproteobacteria; Burkholderiales; Comamonadaceae. The record is from RNAcentral.
UGCAUCCGCUAGGGGUGUUGCCGCGACUCCGGACCGCAAGGCCGACAGCACGGUGACUGAGAAAGUCCCUUUGAACCUGAUUGAGGUAAUCCUCGCGCAGGGAAGCCGCUCCAGUUGUCC